Molecule: ribosomal RNA, 426 nt
Filed under: uncultured bacterium
Lineage: Bacteria
Description: bacterial SSU rRNA
Rfam family: Bacterial small subunit ribosomal RNA
Source: RNAcentral
GAAUUGUUCGCAAUGGGCGCAAGCCUGACGACGCAACGCCGCGUGGAGGAUGAAGAUCUUCGGGUCGUAAACUCCUUUCGAUCGGGACGAAUGGCCGGUGACCUAAUACGUCACUGGAGUGACGGUACCGAGAGAAGAAGCCCCGGCUAACUCCGUGCCAGCAGCCGCGGUAAUACAGAGGGUGCAAGCGUUAAUCGGAAUUACUGGGCGUAAAGCGCGCGUAGGUGGUUUGUUAAGUUGGAUGUGAAAGCCCCGGGCUCAACCUGGGAGCUGCAUCCAAAACUGGCAAGCUAGAGUACGGUAGAGGGUGGUGGAAUUUCCUGUGUAGCGGUGAAAUGCGUAGAUAUAGGAAGGAACACCAGUGGCGAAGGCGACCACCUGGACUGAUACUGACACUGAGGUGCGAAAGCUAGGGGAGCAAACAGG